CCUGAGAAACCCAAAAGAUCGAAUGGGGAGAUUCAUCGUCAGCGGUCUUGGUACGUGUGCGGCUCGCGAUGCCGGAGACUUCGGUCUCCAGGCACGCGUCCGUAUGUUUUUUAUUGCCUCGAUCGUCGGCGUGCACUUCUCCCCUAGUAGGACGUCGCGACCCGUUGGGUGUCGGUCUACGGCCCGGGCGGUAGCCUGUUUCGUGUUCGCUUCGCGGCGUUACGCGGUUCAGACCCCCGGUUGCCCGACCGGCUGCUCGGCGGUACACGCACGGUAUCUGGCCGCAAAUAUUCGAACUGCGUCCGGCCCGUCGCAAGCGAGGCAAGUGUUUCCCGGUUGUACGGAUCUAAUGCCGUCACCGGGCCUUGCCAGCUGUUGGUUGACGGUGUCCUAGGACUGGCUAAUACAAUUAUGAUACCGGUCGGCGACGCUACUGCUUUGGGUACUUUCAGGACCCGUCUUGAAACACGGACCAAGGAGUCUAACAUGUGCGCGAGUCAUUGGGAACUAUUAAGCCUAAAGGCGCAAUGAAAGUGAAGGUCGGCCUUGCGCCGACCGAGGGAGGAUGGGCCGCGUCACGAUGCGGUCCCGCACUCCCGGGGCGUCUCGUUCUCAUUGCGAGAARRGGCGCACCCAGAGCG
RNAcentral lists this ribosomal RNA (641 nucleotides) under Hoplocryptus sp. NL631. RNAcentral's name for it is "eukaryotic LSU rRNA". It matches the Rfam family "Eukaryotic large subunit ribosomal RNA", at positions 420 to 802 of the family's 3401-position model. Lineage: Eukaryota; Metazoa; Arthropoda; Insecta; Hymenoptera; Ichneumonidae. The record is from RNAcentral.